This 1033-nucleotide long non-coding RNA is filed under the name Oryza sativa Indica Group (long-grained rice). RNAcentral describes it as "lncRNA OsMH63_01G029740". Lineage: Eukaryota; Viridiplantae; Streptophyta; Magnoliopsida; Poales; Poaceae. The record is from RNAcentral.
AUGCAGGGGACCAAGAGUGCCCAGCCCAAGAAAUUAAUUCUCGCAACUACCCUUCUCUCGAACUCUCCACAUUGCUCCCGUUCUCCUUAUCCCGGUUGCGAGCUCGCCGAGAAGCACUCUGCCUCAGCUGCCGCUCCGGCUCCCCUCCUCCCUCCACCGGCGGCUGGCGCCGGCUCUCCUCCCUCCGCCGCCGGCGCCGGUUCUCUUCCCUCCGCCGCCGGCGCCGGCUCUGCUUCUCCGGCAGCCGCGGUUGCCAGCUCGCGCGAGUUCUUGAACCCCAUUGCCCACGAGGUGGUGCUCAAGAUCACCAGCUUCGGUGGCUGCAGCGGCCUCGUGGCGGCGGCGACGACGGGGGGCGGCGUACUCGCGUCGGCGGCGGAGGGAGGAGGCAGCGCCGGCCGCCGGUGGGGUUCAGUUUCUGCUCAGGGGUGGCAACAGCUUCAGUCCGCCGCCAUGCGGAGGCAGGGAGGGGUCGGCGCGGCCAGGGGCGUGGCUGUGGCGGCAGCGGAUCUCGGUGCGCGUGGCGGUGGAGCUCGGCGUCGACCUCGCCAAGGCGGCGACUGGGAGGAGGGUGCGCUCCUCCUCAACGUUCUUGGCGGCGGCUCAAGAACGGGCGGCGUGGUCGACGCCGCCGUCUCGCCUCGGCAUUCUAUUUGGGUUCUUGAGAUGGGCGGUAGCUGCUCCGACGCCAUUCCAAUUGAUGCCGAGGCCGCCAUGGAUUUUGUCCUCAUGGCGGCAAGGCCGAUGCCGGCGCGGGCAAAAGGACUCGGUGGCGGUAGGAUGAAUCGCAGGCGCGGGAAGGGAUUUUUUCGUGGGCGAAUCUGGAAUUUCUCCGAGUGCUGCGUGCACGAGGUCACGGGCGGCCAAGCAUCGACGCCCACAGCGCUCGCUCCUCGCGUUUUUCUGGCGGCGCGUGGAUUCGACCGAGCAAGGUUGCGUGUUGCUCUGCUUGGGGACGAGCAACCAAGUUUGGUCCUGGUUCCACGCGACACGUCGGACAAAAUCCUCCGUGUCGCCCCAUAGCACCGGUCCA